Molecule: transfer RNA, 64 nt
Filed under: Neocrepidodera transversa
Lineage: Eukaryota; Metazoa; Arthropoda; Insecta; Coleoptera; Chrysomelidae
Description: tRNA-Ser
Source: RNAcentral
UAUCAAAUAUAAAAAGUAUAGAUUAUUGAAAAAGGGCAAAAAAAUCGUGAUUUUUUUUUGAUUU